AACGCACAUUGCGCCUUCCAGUAUCCUGGGAGGCAUGCCUGUCCGAGCGUCGUUUCAACCCUCGAGCCCCUGUGGCCCGGCGUUGGGGAUCUGCCACGGCAGGCCCCUAAAACCAGUGGCGGACCCGAAGGGCCCUCUCCUUUGCGCAGUAGCAUUCGCCUCGCAUCGGGAGUCCUCGGCGUCCUGCCUCUAAACCCCCCACAAGCCCGCCUCGGCGGCACCAAGGUUGACCUCGGAUCAGGUAGGAAUACCCGCUGAACUUAA
RNAcentral lists this unclassified non-coding RNA (264 nucleotides) under uncultured fungus. Its description in RNAcentral is "partial contains 5.8S ribosomal RNA, internal transcribed spacer 2, and large subunit ribosomal RNA". Lineage: Eukaryota; Fungi. The record is from RNAcentral.